CCUGAUAAUGCAUCAGUUGGGCGUUGUAUA
RNAcentral lists this non-coding RNA (30 nucleotides) under Mus musculus (house mouse). Lineage: Eukaryota; Metazoa; Chordata; Mammalia; Rodentia; Muridae. The record is from RNAcentral.